UACGGGGGGGGCAAGCGUUGUUCGGAAUUACUGGGCGUAAAGGGCUCGUAGGCGGCCAACUAAGUCGGACGUGAAAUCCCCAGGCUCAACCUGGGAACUGCGUCCGAUACUGGAUGGCUUGAAUCCGGGAGAGGGAUGCAGAAUUCCAGGUGUAGCGGUGAAAUGCGUAGAUAUCUGGAGGAAUACCGGUGGCGAAGGCGGCAUCCUGGACCGGCAUUGACGCUGAGGAGCGAAAGCCAGGGGGGCAAACGGG
RNAcentral lists this ribosomal RNA (253 nucleotides) under uncultured bacterium. RNAcentral's name for it is "partial 16S ribosomal RNA". It matches the Rfam family "Bacterial small subunit ribosomal RNA", at positions 524 to 776 of the family's 1533-position model. The record is from RNAcentral.